Molecule: non-coding RNA, 77 nt
Organism: Podarcis lilfordi (Lilford's wall lizard)
Lineage: Eukaryota; Metazoa; Chordata; Lepidosauria; Squamata; Lacertidae
Source: the annotation of a GenBank genome assembly
GUCAUCACAUGGGUAGCUCAGUUGUUAGAACAUGAGACUUAAUCUCAAAGUCGUGGGUUCAAGCCCCACAUUGGACA